GUAGUUAGCCGUGGCUUAUUCUUGGGGUACCGUCUUCUACUCUUCCCCCUUAAAAGAAGUUUACAACCCGAAAGCCUUCUUCCUUCACGCGGCGUUGCUGGGUCAGACUUGCGUCCAUUGCCCAAUAUUCCCCACUGCUGCCUCCCGUAGGAGUCUGGACCGUGUCUCAGUUCCAGUGUGGCCGAUCAGCCUCUCAGCUCGGCUACCCAUCGCUGACUUGGUGGGCCGUUACCCCGCCAACUAUCUAAUGGGACGCGAGCCCCUCCCUCUGCGGAUUUCUCCUUUGACCUCAAAGCGAUGCCGCCUCGUGGUCUUAUGCGGUAUUAGCAUCUGUUUCCAAAUGUUAUCCCCCUCAAAGGGUCAGGUUGCUCACGCGUUACUCACCCGUUCGCCACUAAGUUAUCAACCGAAAUCAAUAACUCCGUUCGACUUGCAUGUGUUAGGCACGCCGCCAGCGUUCGUCCUGAGCCAGUAGUACUAACUAACCUCGUACGUACGUAGACGGGCGGUCGGUCGGACGACGGCCGACUAG
RNAcentral lists this ribosomal RNA (532 nucleotides) under uncultured bacterium. Its description in RNAcentral is "partial 16S ribosomal RNA". The record is from RNAcentral.